Molecule: ribosomal RNA, 837 nt
Filed under: Nectriaceae sp. YTH-2012a
Lineage: Eukaryota; Fungi; Ascomycota; Sordariomycetes; Hypocreales; Nectriaceae
Description: eukaryotic LSU rRNA
Rfam family: Eukaryotic large subunit ribosomal RNA
Source: RNAcentral
CAGGGAUUGCCCUAGUAACGGCGAGUGAAGCGGCAACAGCUCAAAUUUGAAAUCUGGCCUUCGGGUCCGAGUUGUAAUUUGUAGAGGAUGCUUUUGGUGCGGUGCCUUCCGAGUUCCCUGGAACGGGACGCCAUAGAGGGUGAGAGCCCCGUCUGGUUGGAUACCAAGCCUCUGUAAAGCUCCUUCGACGAGUCGAGUAGUUUGGGAAUGCUGCUCUAAAUGGGAGGUAUAUGUCUUCUAAAGCUAAAUACCGGCCAGAGACCGAUAGCGCACAAGUAGAGUGAUCGAAAGAUGAAAAGCACUUUGAAAAGAGGGUUAAACAGUACGUGAAAUUGUUGAAAGGGAAGCGCUUGCGACCAGACUUGGGCCCGGUUAAUCAUCCAGCGUUCUCGCUGGUGCACUUGGCCGGCCCAGGCCAGCAUCAGUUUGGCGCGGGGGAUAAAGGCUUCGGGAAUGUGGCUCCUCCGGGAGUGUUAUAGCCCGUUGUGCAAUACCCUGCGCUGGACUGAGGUUCGCGCAUCUGCAAGGAUGCUGGCGUAAUGGUCAUUAGCGACCCGUCUUGAAACACGGACCAAGGAGUCGUCCUCGUAUGCGAGUGUUCGGGUGUCAAACCCCUACGCGUAAUGAAAGUGAACGCAGGUGAGAGCUUCGGCGCAUCAUCGACCGAUCCUGAUGUUCUCGGAUGGAUUUGAGUAAGAGCAUACGGGGCCGGACCCGAAAGAAGGUGAACUAUGCCUGUAUAGGGUGAAGCCAGAGGAAACUCUGGUGGAGGCUCGCAGCGGUUCUGACGUGCAAAUCGAUCGUCAAAUAUGGGCAUGGGGGCGAAAGACUAAUCGA